Molecule: ribosomal RNA, 492 nt
Filed under: uncultured bacterium
Lineage: Bacteria
Description: partial 16S ribosomal RNA
Rfam family: Bacterial small subunit ribosomal RNA
Source: RNAcentral
AGUGAACGCUGGCGGUAGGCCUAACACAUGCAAGUCGAACGGCAGCACAGUAAGAGCUUGCUCUUACGGGUGGCGAGUGGCGGACGGGUGAGGAAUACAUCGGAAUCUACUUUUUCGUGGGGGAUAACGUAGGGAAACUUACGCUAAUACCGCAUACGACCUACGGGUGAAAGCAGGGGAUCUUCGGACCUUGCGCGAUUGAAUGAGCCGAUGUCGGAUUGGCUAGUUGGCGGGGUAAAGGCCCACCAAGGCGACGAUCCGUAGCUGGUCUGAGAGGAUGAUCAGCCACACUGGAACUGAGACACGGUCCAGACUCCUACGGGAGGCAGUAGUGGGGAAUAUUGGACAAUGGGCGCAAGCCUGAUCCAGCCAUACCGCGUGGGUGAAGAAGGCCUUCGGGUUGUAAAGCCCUUUUGUUGGGAAAGAAAAGCAGCAGGUUAAUACCCCGCUGUUCUGACGGUACCCAAAGAAUAAGCACCGGCUAACUUCGUG